CCUACGGGAGGCAGCAGUGAGGAAUAUUGGUCAAUGGACGAGAGUCUGAACCAGCCAGGUAGCGUGAAGGAUGACUGCCCUAUGGGUUGUAAACUUCUUUUAUAUGGGAAUAAAACGUUCCACGUGUGGGAUUUUGUAUGUACCAUAUGAAUAAGGAUCGGCUAACUCCGUGCCAGCAGCCGCGGUAAUACGGAGGAUCCGAGCGUUAUCCGGAUUUAUUGGGUUUAAAGGGAGCGUAGGUGGAUUGUUAAGUCAGUUGUGAAAGUUUGCGGCUCAACCGUAAAAUUGCAGUUGAAACUGGCAGUCUUGAGUACAGUAGAGGUGGGCGGAAUUCGUGGUGUAGCGGUGAAAUGCUUAGAUAUCACGAAGAACUCCGAUUGCGAAGGCAGUUCACUGGACUGCAACUGACACUGAGGCUCGAAAGUGUGGGUAUCAAACAGGAUUAGAUACCCGAGUAGUC
RNAcentral lists this ribosomal RNA (460 nucleotides) under uncultured bacterium. RNAcentral describes it as "partial 16S ribosomal RNA". It matches the Rfam family "Bacterial small subunit ribosomal RNA", at positions 338 to 795 of the family's 1533-position model. The record is from RNAcentral.